RNAcentral lists this ribosomal RNA (206 nucleotides) under uncultured bacterium. Its description in RNAcentral is "partial 16S ribosomal RNA". It matches the Rfam family "Bacterial small subunit ribosomal RNA", at positions 568 to 774 of the family's 1533-position model. The record is from RNAcentral.
AGUGUAGGCGGUCAAGCAAGUCAGGGGUGAAAGGCAUCGGCUCAACCGAUGUAAGCCUUUGAAACUGUUUGACUUGAGUGCAGGAGAGGUAAGUGGAAUUCCUAGUGUAGCGGUGAAAUGCGUAGAUAUUAGGAGGAACACCAGUGGCGAAGGCGACUUACUGGACUGUAACUGACGCUGAGGCUCGAAAGCGUGGGGAGCGAACA